RNAcentral lists this non-coding RNA (24 nucleotides) under Cricetulus griseus (Chinese hamster). The record is from RNAcentral. Lineage: Eukaryota; Metazoa; Chordata; Mammalia; Rodentia; Cricetidae.
GUGGAAGUCAGAAGAGGUUGUGGG